AUCCUAAUCAAGUUACUAACCCUUUCCAUCCUCACCUGUAAAAUGGGAGCAAUUCACAUACUCACUUACUUAUUUGGAAAUAUUCACCGAGAUCCUAGGAUGAGGUGGAUGCUGCUCUAUUCAUGAGGACUACAUCAGUGAACUAGACAGGAAAACAUCUACCUUCACAAAGCAUCCAUUCUCAUGGGUUUCAAAGAGAACAGAGACAAGCCCGUGCCCUGAAGCACGUCAGUGCUACCAGAGGAUCAAUACAAGUCAUUAUCCAGGGGAUAAAAACAAGCAAGUGGCAGAGUCAGGCCUGCACGGAGUCUCCAGACACCAGACACAAUUUUCUUCCUACCCCUCUGCCAGGCAGUCAACGAUGCUAUAUUCAUGACCUAACUUCCACAUCUUGCCAGCAUGUUCCAUGUGUAAUCCAGAGCUGUCUACCUAGGAUCACUGGACCCUAGAAUUUUCUGCAAAUCUGUUCUCUGACACAUAAGAAGAAUAUCCCAUUAGUGGACUAGUCUAACUCCUUGUGGCAUUGUGACUGCUUAUUCCACCUUUAAUGAAGAAAAAGAAAAUUAUCCGAUGGAAGAGCCAUGAAGAGGAUACACACUGGCCAAUUGAACUAAAAAUAUCAACUAAACUGUUAACACCUACAGAGUAUAGUGUGAACACUGAAUUUUCAAAUCUGUUAAAUAAUGCAAUGCCUGAUACAUACUGAAUAUCCAUUUAAGUAUGUGCAUUUGUAGAUGUCUUAGCUGAGUCACCAGUAGAUUUAAGGGUGUUUUUAAAGUUACUGAACAAAUAUCCCAUCCCACAGUGGCAAUGACCAAAUAAGUGCAUAUAUAUAUAUUCUGAUUGUGAUCAUUGAAUGUAUCAAAAUAUAAUUAUUUUCCAACUUCGAUAUGAGUUUUCUUGAACAGCAG
This 911-nucleotide long non-coding RNA is filed under the name Vulpes vulpes (red fox). Its description in RNAcentral is "lncRNA (ENSVVUG00000020849.1)". Lineage: Eukaryota; Metazoa; Chordata; Mammalia; Carnivora; Canidae. The record is from RNAcentral.